UCUGUUGGCCAGGGGGAUUCCUGGCAGAGUGAUUUUUAGACUACAGGACUGAAUCACAUUGCCAGGGAUUUCCAAUGGCU
Takifugu rubripes (torafugu) is the source of this 80-nucleotide microRNA precursor. Ensembl annotates it as microRNA mir-23a-3. Its record names the gene mir23a-3. The record is from Ensembl. Lineage: Eukaryota; Metazoa; Chordata; Actinopteri; Tetraodontiformes; Tetraodontidae.